CAAAUAACCAAAAUUUUAUUUACCCGCCCUUUUCUUCCAACAGAACACUCAGAAAGACCACAUAAAUAAAUACUGUAUCUAUCUUUUAACCAUAAUUCAUAGUUUAAACAUUAAAUAAUCUUUAUUCAUAGACACUCUGUCCCAAAAAAUAAAUAAGCAACCUGAUAGAAUUAGAGAACAUCUUCCGAGACACUUAGUUUGCACUCUGUAAAUAGAGAUCUACUGUAUCUAGAGAUUUAAACACAAAAACAGAAAAAGGAACAAAAAAAACUGUUCAGUUUUUU
Salarias fasciatus (jewelled blenny) is the source of this 284-nucleotide long non-coding RNA. RefSeq lists it as uncharacterized. The record is from RefSeq and is a predicted model, not a curated record. The transcript has 3 exons. Lineage: Eukaryota; Metazoa; Chordata; Actinopteri; Blenniiformes; Blenniidae.